Long non-coding RNA from Oryzias melastigma (Indian medaka), 1491 nucleotides. RefSeq lists it as uncharacterized. The record is from RefSeq and is a predicted model, not a curated record. Lineage: Eukaryota; Metazoa; Chordata; Actinopteri; Beloniformes; Adrianichthyidae. The transcript is spliced from 2 exons.
AACCAGCUAAAAUAUUAGCUAAAUGCCAAAUUAGCCUAAAAAACUAAAUAGAAAAACACUUAGGUUUGUCAAAACAGCUAGCACUUCUGCAUUUAAUGUCAGUUUCAACAUGUAAACAAGAUCAAACAUCAGGGAAGGCAGACUGCAGGUGAUUGAACGGGAGCAGCAGUAAAGAAUUAUAUCAUCGGCAUACAAGUAGUACAUGAUAUUUGACUAAUUUACACACAGAUCAAUAUGAAAAAAUCAAAUGUCAUCUAAAAUUGAGCCAUAAGGUGCUUCUUUAAAUUGCUCAGAAAAAGAAUAGCUGAACCAUUGAACAGUGUUCUGUUUAACCCUUUAACACAAAACCUUUAACGUACGGUAACUUUUCAGCUGUUAACACGAUCAGGGUAAUUCCAGUAGAUUCUGAAGGAGAAAAGCAUCUCGACGAGCUGCUGUUCUCCUUCAGAAUCUACUGGAAUUAUUGUGUUAACAAUUAAAAAAAUUACAGCAAAUCAAAGAACAUAAACAAAAGGGUUAAGAGCUGAAAGGUCACAACGUGUCCGUGUCAGACGUGAUGUGGGUCGCUUUUCUUUGUGUGUUCAUCACAGUUUCACCAGUCUGUUCUGUUCUUCCAACCUACUUCAUCCACAAACAUUAUAGAGCAAACAGCUGGAGUUUUAUAAUAAAUGGGAUCCUGACAGGACAUUUUUUCAGCCUCUGAUUUGGUCAUUUUCAUUUGAAACUUAAGAAAACUUCAUGUCAAACUGUAAUAUUUGAAAUCUACAGAACUAAGACAGUUUGAAUCUGGAUAAUAAAAGCAAAUCUUCUAUUUUAAGAGGAAUAUGGUUGUUGAACUUUACACUUUUGUCAUCAUUUAAGUGUUACAAAAUCGCAGACAUGUCAGUCAAACUUGAUCAGGUGGUGUUCAGUUUAACCAAAGUUUAGACAAGAGUGCAGAUCAACACGUGAUCUAAGUGAUCACCUGACUCUGGUUAUCGGUAGCGGAGGAACCGGGAGGGUGCACAUGGAGGAUCUGCUCUGGCUUUCUCUUGUUCCACAUGUUUCCUCUCCUGAACUCGUCCAGGUUUGAUUCAGGUUGAUCGGCUCAGAACACUGAAGACACAGAGGAACCUACCUGCAGACAAUUCAAAACCUAAAAAUGUUCAGUCCAGUUUGUGUUUAUGAGCAUCUUCAAUCCUCAUGGUGACAUCAGGGCAUUUCUCUGCUGGCAGACAGCAACAAUGCUCAUAAAACACAACAGCCCCCUCUGCUGUCUGCAGGAGUCGUCACAAUGCUGCAAUCCUCAGAAGAAGAUGCUGAUCCUUCCAAAGCGCUGAAGCUGGUCCAGGCUGGGAGGGGGCAGGAUAACCUCGAUCAGCACGCCAGUAUUCAGCCAAGACAAACGCUAAAAGACUUGAUGGUCACAAUUUUAGCUUUUAUUCAUACAAUGAUCACACGUAAAGUACGGGAGAUUCAGCAGGAAGAGACAGAUAAAUAUUUAUAUACAUU